This 520-nucleotide ribosomal RNA is filed under the name uncultured Glomus. RNAcentral describes it as "SSU rRNA". It matches the Rfam family "Eukaryotic small subunit ribosomal RNA", at positions 569 to 1091 of the family's 1831-position model. Lineage: Eukaryota; Fungi; Glomeromycota; Glomeromycetes; Glomerales; Glomeraceae. The record is from RNAcentral.
AGCAGCCGCGGUAAUUCCAGCUCCAAUAGCGUAUAUUAAAGUUGUUGCAGUUAAAAAGCUCGUAGUUGAAUUUCGGGGUCAGUAGGUUGGUCAUGCCACUGGUAUGUACUGGUCUCACUGAUUCCUCCUUCCUGAUGAACUGUAAUGCCAUUAAUUUGGUGUUGCAGGGAAUCUGGACUGUUACUUUGAAAAAAUUAGAGUGUUUAAAGCAGGCUAACGCCUGAAUACAUUAGCAUGGAAUAAUGAAAUAGGACGUUCGAUCCUAUUUUGUUGGUUUCUAGGGUUGACGUAAUGAUUAAUAGGGAUAGUUGGGGGCAUUAGUAUUCAAUUGUCAGAGGUGAAAUUCUUGGAUUUAUUGAAGACUAACUACUGCGAAAGCAUUUGCCAAGGAUGUUUUCAUUAAUCAAGAACGAAAGUUAGGGGAUCGAAGACGAUCAGAUACCGUCGUAGUCUUAACCGUAAACUAUGCCGACUAGGGAUCGGAUGAUGUUAAUUUUUAAUGACUCAUUCGGCGCCUUAA